This 297-nucleotide small nuclear RNA is filed under the name Sorex araneus (European shrew). RNAcentral's name for it is "7SK RNA (ENSSARG00000015805.1)". It matches the Rfam family "7SK RNA". Rfam says of the family: 7SK was discovered as an abundant small nuclear RNA in the mid-70s but a possible function has only recently been suggested. Two independent studies have found that 7SK RNA binds the CDK9/cyclin T complex (known as elongation factor P-TEFb). Lineage: Eukaryota; Metazoa; Chordata; Mammalia; Eulipotyphla; Soricidae. The record is from RNAcentral.
GGAUGUGAGGGCGAUCUGGCUGCGACAUCUGUCACCCCAUUGAUCGCCGGGGUUGAUUCGGCAGAUCUGGCUGGCUAGGCGGCUGUCCCCUUCCUCCCUCACCGCUCCAUGUGCAUCCCUCCUGAAGCUGUGAGCUCGGUCAAAGAGGACGGCCUUUCCCGAAUAGAGACGGACCGGUCUUCGGUCGAGGGUAUACAAGUAGCUGCGCUCCCCUGCUAGAACCUCUAAACAAGCUCUCAAGAAAUCCUGAGUAGAAAGAACAUAAGACUCAUUUUGUCUUUUCAUUUCCCUGCUAAU